UACGUAGGGGGCUAGCGUUGUCCGGAAUCAUUGGGCGUAAAGAGCGUGUAGGCGGCCCGGUAAGUCCGCUGUAAAAGUCAAAGGCUCAACCUUUGAAUGUCAGUGGAUACUGCCGGGCUAGAGUCCGGAAGAGGCGAGUGGAUCUCCUGGUGUAGCGGCGGAAUGCGCAGAUAUCAGGAAGAACACCAACGGCGAAGGCAGCUCGCUGGGACGGUACUGACGCUGAGACGCGAAAGCGUGGGGAGCGAACAGG
RNAcentral lists this ribosomal RNA (253 nucleotides) under uncultured bacterium. RNAcentral's name for it is "partial 16S ribosomal RNA". It matches the Rfam family "Bacterial small subunit ribosomal RNA", at positions 524 to 776 of the family's 1533-position model. The record is from RNAcentral.